CCUACGGGAGGCUGCAGUCGAGAAUCUUCGUCAAUGGGGGAAACCCUGAACGAGCGACGCCGCGUGGAGGAUGAAGGCCUUCGGGUUGUAAACUCCUGUUGGGGGGGAACAAAUUUUGAGUGAACCCCUGAGGAAGCACGGGCUAAGUUCGUGCCAGCAGCCGCGGUAAGACGAACCGUGCGAACGUUAUUCGGAAUCAUUGGGCUUAAAGGGCGCGUAGGCGGCGGUGUAAGUUGGAAGUGAAAUCCCAUCGGCUCAACCGUGGAAUCGCUCCCAGUACUGCAUCGCUCGAGGGGGAUAGGGGUCCGCGGAACUACCGGUGGAGCGGUGAAAUGUGUUGAUAUCGGUGGGAACGCCAGUGGCGAAAGCGGCGGACUUGACCCUUCCUGACGCUGAGGCGCGAAAGCUAGGGGAGCAAACGGGAUUAGAUACCCCAGUAG
RNAcentral lists this ribosomal RNA (440 nucleotides) under uncultured bacterium. Its description in RNAcentral is "bacterial SSU rRNA". It matches the Rfam family "Bacterial small subunit ribosomal RNA", at positions 338 to 793 of the family's 1533-position model. The record is from RNAcentral.